Monodelphis domestica (gray short-tailed opossum) is the source of this 1782-nucleotide non-coding RNA. The record is from RefSeq and is a predicted model, not a curated record. NCBI's taxonomy places the organism in Eukaryota, Metazoa, Chordata, Mammalia, Didelphimorphia, Didelphidae.
UAAUUUGGCAAAAUAGCUCAUAAUAAUUACCUUAAUUUCCUCUUCAUUAGAGGUCGCCCUUUUCAUCUUUAAUACUGUUGAUUUGAUUUUCUUCCUUUUUUUUGUUACAUUAACCAAUACCUAAUUUUAUUUUAUUUUUACAGAGUAUCCCCUCUUAGUCUUAUUUAGUGGUUCAAUAGUUCUAUUUUCAAUUUUAUUAAUUUCUCCUUUGAUUUUUGGUAUUUCCAAUUUAGUUUUUAUAUGGGGAUUUUAAAUUUGUUUUCUUUCUAGUUUUUUAAUUUGCAUGCUCAAUUCAUUGAACUCUUCACUCUCUGAUUUGUUGAUAUAUGCACUCAGAGAUAUCAGUUUUCCCAAAAAAACUGCUUUGACUGCAUCCCAUAGAUUUUUUCCUCAUUGUCAUUCUCUUCAAUGAAAUUAAUUAUUGUUUCUUGAAUUUGUUCUUUGACCCACCAGUUUUGGAGAAUUAGAUUAUUUAGUUUCUAGUUCAUUUUAAAUUUACCUUUCCAUAAUCCCUUAUUGAUUAUGAUUUUUAUUUCAUUAUGAUCAGAAAAAGUUGCAUUAUUUCUGCUUUCCCUUUAUAUGUGCCAUGGGCUACUGAAAAGAAGGCAUAUUCCUUUUAAUCCCUUUUAUUUUUCUCCAGAUAACUAUUAGCUCUAAUUUGUCUAACAUUUCAUUCACUUCCCUUAUUUGGUUCUAUUUAUCUAGAAGGUUGAAUUCCCCCACUAGUAUGGUUUUACUACCUAUUUCCUCCUUAAGCUCCUUUAGUUCCUCCUUUAGAAAUCUGAAUGUUGGGGCAGCUGGGGCAGCUGGGUGGCUCAGUGGAUUGAGAGCCAGACCUAGAGACGGAAGGUCCUAGGUUCAAAUUGGCCUCAGACACAUCCUGGCUGUGUGACCCUGGGCAAGUCACUUAACCCCCAUUGCCUAGCCCUUACUGCUCUUCUGCCUUGGAAUCAAUACAGUAUUGAUUCCAAGAAGGUAAGGGUUUAAUUUUAAAAAAAGAAAGAAAAGAAAUUUGAAUGCUAUAUUAUUUAGUGCAUAUAUGUUGAGUACUGAUAUUUCUUCAUUAUACUGCCUUUCAUCAAGACAUAAUUACCAUCCCUAUCUCUUUUAAUCAGUUCUGUUUUUGCUUUAGCUUUGUCUGAGAUCAUAAUUACUACUCCACCUCUUUUGUCUCAGUUAUACAGCCCAGUACAUUCUGCUCUCCCCUCUUAUGUUUACCCUGUGUAUGUCUACCUGCCUCGUGUUUUCCUUUUAGACUACUUAUGGUAGGAUUCUGGUUUAUAAUCAAUUCUUCUUCCUACUUCCUUUUUUUGGCUAUCAUUGCUAUUGCAGAAUGAAACUAUAUAGUUACUCAGCAGUCCCACUAUCCCAAUAUUUUGAAGAUCGUCGAUCUCUGGAACAGAUUUAUAGACAUUAAUUUUAAUGAUUCUGUUGAUAAUCAUUAAAAACAACUCUUCAUUCAAGACCAGGAAUUAUAAAGAAUAUAUACAGUGUCAAGGACUUUGUUAAAGAAUUGUGUUAUCAGAGGAGAUGAGCUAAUGGAGUAUAUUUUCCUUGGGACAGUAAGAGAAAACAAGGAAGAGCCCUAGUACAUUGUUGAGGAUGGAGGAACUCAUGGUUGCCAAUAUAUGAAAAAACAUAGAUGAGAAAAUGAGCAAGCAAGAUCAUGAUGCCUCAUUGAAGGGAUGAUUCAUAUUAAUUAAAUCAAAGGUUCGUUUGAAUACUUGACUGUUAUGAGUAAGUUGAGUCAAAAUGAGAAUUUCCAAUAGCCAGUUAUUUUUU